This 429-nucleotide ribosomal RNA is filed under the name uncultured bacterium. Its description in RNAcentral is "bacterial SSU rRNA". It matches the Rfam family "Bacterial small subunit ribosomal RNA", at positions 355 to 796 of the family's 1533-position model. The record is from RNAcentral.
UGGGGAAUAUUGCACAAUGGGCGGAAGCCUGAUGCAGCGACGCCGCGUGAGGGACGAAGGCCUUCGGGUUGUAAACCUCUUUCGGCCCAGACGAAGCGAAAGUGACGGUAUGGGCAGAAGAAGCGCCGGCCAACUACGUGCCAGCAGCCGCGGUAAGACGUAGGGCGCGAGCGUUGUCCGGAUUUAUUGGGCGUAAAGAGCUCGUAGGCGGCUUGUCGCGUCGACUGUGAAAACCCACGGCUCAACUGUGGGACUGCAGUCGAUACGGGCAAGCUAGAGUUCGGUAGGGGAGACUGGAAUUCCUGGUGUAGCGGUGAAAUGCGCAGAUAUCAGGAGGAACACCGGUGGCGAAGGCGGGUCUCUGGGCCGAUACUGACGCUGAGGAGCGAAAGCGUGGGGAGCGAACAGGAUUAGAUACCCCCGUAGUCC